RNAcentral lists this long non-coding RNA (715 nucleotides) under Monodelphis domestica (gray short-tailed opossum). RNAcentral's name for it is "lncRNA (ENSMODG00000032603.2)". The record is from RNAcentral. Lineage: Eukaryota; Metazoa; Chordata; Mammalia; Didelphimorphia; Didelphidae.
UUAAAGUCAGACGUAAAUCUUAAAGAUUGGUCAAAUGCCAGUAUAAAUUAUAACAAUGAGUGAAAAAGAAUUUAUUGAAGGAGUACUUUGUGCCAAGCAGCUAAGCCCUAGGGAUACAGAUUAAAAAAAACAAAACAAAACAAAUACAGUCCAUACUCUAAAGCAGUUUACAUUCUAAUAUUAGGAGACAAUAUAUAUAGCAGAAUAGUGGCUAGGGAGGGGCACACAUCCAGAAAAUUAUAGAUGCAGUGAACAGGCACGUAAAUAGAUUUUCCCCUCUCUUUAAGGAACAGAGGCAUAGUUGAUUUGGUCUUAGUUCCAGAAUCAGAGACAGGGAAGAUAUGCAUUCAAGGUCGUUGGCAGUCUUUGUGAGAAGAUGGUUGGAGAACACUGUGGGUACAGUGUCUGCUGGGCACACACAUGAGCAUCAUGCAACUCUGGGACUACCACCAAGGUAUUGUCAAGUCUUUUAUCACCCUGGCAACACAGCAGCUACUCUCAUAUGGUCACUAAGUAGGAAGACAAGAGAUGAUAAUGGCCUGAACUAUGGUGGUGACCAUGUAAAUGGCGAGAGUUGGAUGCAAGAUAUGUUUGAAGCAUCAUGAAUGAGGUCAGAAAACAAAUCAGUUUCUGACUUUCAAUCUCUUGUCUUUACACUUUAUCCCCCACAAAGUUGCCAAAAAUAAUACUCCUAAAACAUUUUUGCUCAUUUUCA